AGCCUAAACCCUAUAUAAUUUUGGGCAUGGCGAAAAAAUCUCUUGGAAGGUGCAGAACCCUGCGUUCAGCUAUUCUUCCAAGAGUCACAUCUCGAAAGAGAUGUGGGGUCGCAAGAUCC
RNAcentral lists this small RNA (119 nucleotides) under unclassified sequences. RNAcentral's name for it is "LOOT RNA". It matches the Rfam family "LOOT RNA". From Rfam's summary of the family: Latescibacteria, OD1/Parcubacteria, OP11, TM7. The record is from Rfam by way of RNAcentral.